Long non-coding RNA from Xenia sp. Carnegie-2017, 361 nucleotides. RefSeq lists it as uncharacterized. The record is from RefSeq and is a predicted model, not a curated record. NCBI's taxonomy places the organism in Eukaryota, Metazoa, Cnidaria, Anthozoa, Malacalcyonacea, Xeniidae. The transcript has 2 exons.
UAGGCCUAUAGUUGCCAAAGUUGAUAAUGUGAUUGCCAUAACUAAAGCUGUUGUGGCAUUGCAUAACUUCCUUAUGAGCAUAAAUGAAGAUGACGAUUCAAAUCUAUACUGUCCACCAUCAUUUGCUGAUCAAGAUGGGAAAAUGGGUAAUGAGUUUAAACCUGGUGAGUGGCGACAAGAUGCAAAUUGUAUGAAUGGAUUGGGUGACAUUACAGAUGUUGGUGCAUCAAAUAACUAUGGUGCAGAAGCUAAGUGGCAUUAGUGAUGUGAUGGAUUUUCAUACGAAAGGGGUUUUUCACUUAUGUAGUUAGCAAUACAUGUUUAAGCUGUAAUUUUAAAAUAAAUGAUUUCACUUGCUAUA